Molecule: ribosomal RNA, 245 nt
Filed under: uncultured bacterium
Lineage: Bacteria
Description: partial 16S ribosomal RNA
Rfam family: Bacterial small subunit ribosomal RNA
Source: RNAcentral
GAUCCUGGCUCAGAUUGAACGCUGGCGGCAUGCCUUACACAUGCAAGUCGGAACGGUAACAGGUCUUCGGACGCUGACGAGUGGCGAACGGGUGAGUAAUACAUCGGAACGUGCCCAGUCGUGGGGGAUAACUACUCGAAAGAGUAGCUAAUACCGCAUACGAUCUGAGGAUGAAAGCGGGGGACCUUCGGGCCUCGCGCGACUUGGAGCGGCCGAUGGCAGAUUAGGUAGUUGGUGGGAUAAAG